RNAcentral lists this ribosomal RNA (253 nucleotides) under uncultured bacterium. RNAcentral's name for it is "partial 16S ribosomal RNA". It matches the Rfam family "Bacterial small subunit ribosomal RNA", at positions 524 to 776 of the family's 1533-position model. The record is from RNAcentral.
UACGGAGGGCGCAAGCGUUGUUCGGAAUUACUGGGCGUAAAGCGCGUGUAGGUGGCCUGGCAAGUCGGGUGUGAAAUCCCGGAGCUCAACUCCGGAACUGCAUCCGAUACUGCCAAGCUCGAGUCUCGGAGAGGAUGGCGGAAUUUCCGGUGUAGAGGUGAAAUUCGUAGAUAUCGGAAGGAACACCAGUGGCGAAGGCGGCCGUCUGGACGAUGACUGACAAUGAGACGCGAAAGCGUGGGGAGCAAACAGG